RNAcentral lists this ribosomal RNA (368 nucleotides) under Streptococcus suis. RNAcentral describes it as "bacterial SSU rRNA". It matches the Rfam family "Bacterial small subunit ribosomal RNA", at positions 1 to 360 of the family's 1533-position model. Lineage: Bacteria; Bacillati; Bacillota; Bacilli; Lactobacillales; Streptococcaceae. The record is from RNAcentral.
UUUAUGAGAGUUUGAUCCUGGCUCAGGACGAACGCUGGCGGCGUGCCUAAUACAUGCAAGUAGAACGCUGAAGUCUGGUGCUUGCACUAGACGGAUGAGUUGCGAACGGGUGAGUAACGCGUAGGUAACCUGCCUCAUAGCGGGGGAUAACUAUUGGAAACGAUAGCUAAUACCGCAUAACAGUAUUUACCGCAUGGUAGAUGCUUGAAAGGAGCAACUGCUUCACUAUGAGAUGGACCUGCGUUGUAUUAGCUAGUUGGUGAGGUAACGGCUCACCAAGGCAUCGAUACAUAGCCGACCUGAGAGGGUGAUCGGCCACACUGGGACUGAGACACGGCCCAGACUCCUACGGGAGGCAGCAGUAGGGA